AGUGAACGCUGGCGGUAGGCCUAACACAUGCAAGUCGAACGGCAGCACAAUAAGAGCUUGCUCUUACGGGUGGCGAGUGGCGGACGGGUGAGGAAUACAUCGGAAUCUACUUUUUCGUGGGGGAUAACGUAGGGAAACUUACGCUAAUACCGCAUACGACCUACGGGUGAAAGCAGGGGAUCUUCGGACCUUGCGCGAUUGAAUGAGCCGAUGUCGGAUUAGCUAGUUGGCGGGGUAAAGGCCCACCAAGGCGACGAUCCGUAGCUGGUCUGAGAGGAUGAUCAGCCACACUGGAACUGAGACACGGUCCAGACUCCUACGGGAGGCAGCAGUGGGGAAUAUUGGACAAUAGGCGCAAGCCUGAUCCAGCCAUACCGCGUGGGUGAAGAAGGCCUUCGGGUUGUAAAGCCCUUUUGUUGGGAAAGAAAAGCAGCAGGUUAAUACCCCGCUGUUCUGACGGUACCCAAAGAAUAAGCACCGGCUAACUUCGUG
Molecule: ribosomal RNA, 492 nt
Filed under: uncultured bacterium
Lineage: Bacteria
Description: partial 16S ribosomal RNA
Rfam family: Bacterial small subunit ribosomal RNA
Source: RNAcentral